ACCUCAAAGAGACUUCCACGUGGACAG
Molecule: non-coding RNA, 27 nt
Filed under: Homo sapiens (human)
Lineage: Eukaryota; Metazoa; Chordata; Mammalia; Primates; Hominidae
Source: RNAcentral